RNAcentral lists this ribosomal RNA (493 nucleotides) under uncultured bacterium. RNAcentral's name for it is "partial 16S ribosomal RNA". It matches the Rfam family "Bacterial small subunit ribosomal RNA", at positions 28 to 507 of the family's 1533-position model. The record is from RNAcentral.
GACGAACGCUGGCGGCGUUCUUAACACAUGCAAGUCGAACGGUGAAGGGACCGGUUUUUGCUGGUUCUGGAUGAGUGGCGAACGGGUGAGUAACACGUGAGUAACCUGCCCCCUUCUUCUGGAUAACCGCAUGAAAGUGUGGCUAAUACGGGAUAUUCUGCGCCUGCUGCAUGGUGGGUGUGGGAAAGAUAUUGUUUCGGUGGGGGAUGGGCUCGCGGCCUAUCAGCUUGUUGGUGGGGUGAUGGCCUACCAAGGCGGUGACGGGUAGCCGGCCUGAGAGGGUGGACGGUCACACUGGGACUGAGACACGGCCCAGACUCCUACGGGAGGCAGCAGUGGGGAAUAUUGCACAAUGGGCGCAAGCCUGAUGCAGCGACGCCGCGUGAGGGAUGGAGGCCUUCGGGUUGUAAACCUCUUUCGCCAGUGAAGCAGGCCUGUCCCUUUUGUGGGUGGGUUGACGGUAGCUGGAUAAGAAGCGCCGGCUAACUACGUG